Molecule: ribosomal RNA, 529 nt
Filed under: uncultured bacterium
Lineage: Bacteria
Description: bacterial SSU rRNA
Rfam family: Bacterial small subunit ribosomal RNA
Source: RNAcentral
AGAGUUUGAUCAUGGCUCAGAUUGAACGCUGGCGGCGGGCCUAACACAUGCAAGUCGAACGGUAGCACAGAGGAGCUUGCUCCUUGGGUGACGAGUGGCGGACGGGUGAGUAAUGCCUGGGAAAUUGCCCAGUCGAGGGGGAUAACAGUUGGAAACGACUGCUAAUACCGCAUAACGUCGCAAGACCAAAGAGGGGGACCUUCGGGCCUCUUGCCAUCAGAUGUGCCCAGAUGGGAUUAGCUAGUAGGUGAGGUAAUGGCUCACCAAGGCGACGAUCCCUAGCUGGUCUGAGAGGAUGAUCAGCCACACUGGGACUGAGACACGGCCCAGACUCCUACGGGAGGCAGCAGUGGGGAAUAUUGCACAAUGGGGGAAACCCUGAUGCAGCCAUGCCGCGUGUAUGAAGAAGGCCUUCGGGUUGUAAAGUACUUUCAGCGAGGAGGAAGGCAUUAAGGUUAAUAACCUUAGUGAUUGACGUUACUCGCAGAAGAAGCACCGGCUAACUCCGUGCCAGCAGCCGCGGUAAUAC